UGAUGGCCCUUUUUGCUAAAAAAAGAUACGCCUAUCGUGCCACUCGUCUUUAAAACGAGGGUACAAUUCCAUAUCCGCCUUCUAGCAUAUGGUUUGUAGGGAACAUUUGAUCCACGUCGACAUCCGCAUUAGUUCUUUUUGCGAAACGGCCUUUGAUCCUAGGCCUUGUUUCCGCAUAAGCUUUUCUUGAUGCAUAGCGGAUAGUUUUUUCAAAUUUUCUUGUUUUCUUUUUCUCUCUGUACCUCAAGACCCGUGCCUCUCGAUCCAUUGGAGUGAGUUGGGUUGCCACUUGAACCGGAGGGUUUGAGAAUAGGUCGAUCGUACCUUUCGAGGGUCUAGGAUGUGAGAAUGAAGCCUCGGUUAUUGUCGAAUCAGGUACAACUCCAACUUCCAUUGAUGACAUGGAAACCUAGAAAAUUUCAAAAAAUCAAAGGUGGUCAACUCUAUGUUCAACAUUGAAAGUGUGAAACGGUUAUACAAUGUAUAUGUUUGACCAUGUGUUAUACAAGGUUCUUCUCAACACAUAGCUUAAUCAACAAAACGUAUUUAACUAUAACGUGUAACUAGAAAGAGAGAGAUACUCAAAGAAACCGUGUGGUCCACGUCUUUUGGUUGACAUCUAUAUGUAUUCAAGAAAAAUUAAAUGAACAUAAAUUUUCAAAAAAGGAUAAUAGUCAAAUAUAGGUACCGUCUAAAAGUAGGAGAAUGCAAAGAAAAGAAUAACAUGAUUUUAGCUUUUAAGGGAAAGAAAAUUGCUUAUAUGUAAAAAGAUAAAGACACGAAAAUAAACUUUACUUUUUACUAUGUUAAGGAGACAGGUUAGAGGACGGUUAGAUCAUCGAUCUCGGAAAGAAUGGAUUAACCCUACUUGA
This 872-nucleotide long non-coding RNA is filed under the name Helianthus annuus (common sunflower). RNAcentral describes it as "hypothetical non coding rna". Lineage: Eukaryota; Viridiplantae; Streptophyta; Magnoliopsida; Asterales; Asteraceae. The record is from RNAcentral.